This 128-nucleotide small RNA is filed under the name Pantoea ananatis. RNAcentral describes it as "RtT sRNA". It matches the Rfam family "RtT RNA". Rfam says of the family: This family represents a bacterial cis-regulatory element known as RtT RNA. The exact function of RtT is unknown although it is thought that it may be involved in changing the cellular response in relation to amino acid starvation. Lineage: Bacteria; Pseudomonadati; Pseudomonadota; Gammaproteobacteria; Enterobacterales; Erwiniaceae. The record is from RNAcentral.
UUUUCGCCUGAAUAAAAGAGGAUGAGAACCUCCGAAGGAGGGUUGCGCCGAGCGCAGCGAGACAACGUUGCGAAUGCAACGGCCCGAAGGGGGCUUACGCAGUAAGCCUAAUCCUCUCUCGCUGACCA